GAUUUCGGAAGGUCUUUAGUGGUCCGCCCCUUCGGGGAGCGGGUCACUGGCCUCCUAUGUUCCUAACGGUCCUCAUCCGCGAGGGUGGGGAAUCAACCGCUAGGAUCGUUUACUUUGAGGAAAUUAGAGUGUUCAAAGCAGGCGUAACUCGCCUCCGAAUACGUUAGCAUGGGAUAAUGGAAUACGACUUCGGUCUUGUUUCGUUGGUUUCGCUUGGCUGAAGUAAUGAUUGAUAGGGACAGUUGGGGGCAUUAGUAUUUAGUUGUCAGAGGUGAAAUUCUAGGAUUUACUAAAGACUGACCAAUGCGAAAGCAUUUGCCAAGGAUGUUUUCAUUAAUCAAGAACGAAAGUAGGGGGAUCGAAGACGAUCAGAUACCGUCGUAGUCUCUACCGUAAACUAUGCCGACCAGGGAUCCGGAGAGUUUGCAUGGAUGACUCCCCGGGCACCUUGUGAGAAAUCAUAAGUGUUUGGGUUUUGGGGGGAGUAUGGUCGCAAGGCUGAAACUUAAAGGAAUUGACC
This 520-nucleotide ribosomal RNA is filed under the name Vermamoeba vermiformis. RNAcentral's name for it is "SSU rRNA". It matches the Rfam family "Eukaryotic small subunit ribosomal RNA", at positions 637 to 1158 of the family's 1831-position model. Lineage: Eukaryota; Tubulinea; Echinamoebida; Vermamoebidae. The record is from RNAcentral.